This 467-nucleotide ribosomal RNA is filed under the name uncultured bacterium. RNAcentral describes it as "partial 16S ribosomal RNA". It matches the Rfam family "Bacterial small subunit ribosomal RNA", at positions 28 to 507 of the family's 1533-position model. The record is from RNAcentral.
GACGAACGCUGGCGGCGUGCUUAACACAUGCAAGUCGAACGGAAAGGCCAGUGCUUUCCCUGGUGCUCGAGUGGCGAACGGGUGAGUAACACGUGGGUGAUCUGCCUUGCACUCUGGGAUAAGCUUGGGAAACUGGGUCUAAUACCGGAUAGGAACCGUCUUUAGUGUGGUGGUUGGAAAGUUUUUUCGGUGCAAGAUGAGCUCGCGGCCUAUCAGCUUGUUGGUGGGGUAAUGGCCUACCAAGGCGUCGACGGGUAGCCGGCCUGAGAGGGUGUACGGCCACAUUGGGACUGAGAUACGGCACAGACUCCUACGGGAGGCAGCAGUGGGGAAUAUUGCACAAUGGGCGGAAGCCUGAUGCAGCGACGCCGCGUGGGGGAUGACGGCCUUCGGGUUGUAAACUACUUUCGACAGGGACGAAGCGUUAUGUGACGGUACCUGUAUAAGAAGCACCGGCUAACUACGUG